This 795-nucleotide long non-coding RNA is filed under the name Olea europaea subsp. europaea. Lineage: Eukaryota; Viridiplantae; Streptophyta; Magnoliopsida; Lamiales; Oleaceae. The record is from RNAcentral.
AAAAAACGUACAGAAAACUGAGAGGAGGGCAGCUGCUAGGUCAGUCUAUAUAUGCAAACGCAGUGAGAGAAUAAAGGGCCGCCAAUAUAUAUAUUAUAUACACAGAGACGGGCUACUGGGAGUCGAAAAUACAGGCAGAAAAGUUAGCUGACUGAAAUUGAAUUCUGGGAAUUACCAGUAAAGUGGGUAGCUGGUUAGGAUAUAUUUUUACACGCAUAUACACAGAAAACGAGGCUGAGAAGAAUAGAUACACACCGGAGACGCAGAGACGGCACACACACAACUAGAAUUAUUCACGUCCCAUAAUGUUUUGGUGAUCUUCUUCCACUUUUAUUUGUUUAAUUCCAACAUCAUGUUAGGCUAAUUCUUCAUAUUGCAAAGAUGCGAUGAACCCUUGUUAUGAAUUUUUAAUUUGAAUAAUUUGAUUGACAUUGAUUUGUUUAAUUGUUUGGAUGUUUAUUAUUGUUUAAUUUGCUAUUCAAUUACUUUGCCAUUAAUUGAAUUGUUUGUGGAUUUUAUUGUUAUUAUAGAAGCCUAAAAAAAAAUAUAAAAAUGAAAUUAGGAUCAUAUUUUUAGGUGAUGAUUUAGCACCACGAGCCUAACCUAUAUAUGAACCUUAUGCUCGGUCUACACAAGAAAUGAAAGCCCAAUACUUGUCGAAUAUACCUUAAAUAAUUUUUAAAUGAAGUUGGAUGGAAUUUAAUGUUUUCCCAAAGAUUUGACCUGACGAUGAAACUUUAUAUAUAGUAAAUAUUUCUAAGAUUUGAUUUCGUACGUGUUAUUUUCCAAAAGGAC